Molecule: ribosomal RNA, 207 nt
Filed under: uncultured bacterium
Lineage: Bacteria
Description: partial 16S ribosomal RNA
Rfam family: Bacterial small subunit ribosomal RNA
Source: RNAcentral
CGCGCAGGCGGUGAAUGAAGUCGAAAGUGAAAGCCCCGGGCUCAACUCGGGAACUGCUUUCGAAACCAGUUCACUUGAAGGCGGAAGAGGGAAGUGGAAUUCCGAGUGUAGUGGUGGAAUGCGUAGAUAUUCGGAAGAACACCAGAGGCGAAGGCGACUUCCUGGUCCGAUCUUGACGCUGAGGCGCGAAAGCUAGGGGAGCAAACG